RNAcentral lists this ribosomal RNA (484 nucleotides) under uncultured bacterium. RNAcentral's name for it is "partial 16S ribosomal RNA". It matches the Rfam family "Bacterial small subunit ribosomal RNA", at positions 30 to 507 of the family's 1533-position model. The record is from RNAcentral.
AUUGAACGCUGGCGGCAGGCCUAACACAUGCAAGUCGAGCGGAUGAAGGGAGCUUGCUCCUGGAUUCAGCGGCGGACGGGUGAGUAAUGCCUAGGAAUCUGCCUGGUAGUGGGGGAUAACGUCCGGAAACGGGCGCUAAUACCGCAUACGUCCUGAGGGAGAAAGUGGGGGAUCUUCGGACCUCACGCUAUCAGAUGAGCCUAGGUCGGAUUAGCUAGUUGGUGGGGUAAAGGCCUACCAAGGCGACGAUCCGUAACUGGUCUGGGAGGAUGAUCAGUCACACUGGAACUGAGACACGGUCCAGACGCCUACGGGAGGCAGCAGUGGGGAAUAUUGGACAAUGGGCGAAAGCCUGAUCCAGCCAUGCCGCGUGUGUGAAGAAGGUCUUCGGAUUGUAAAGCACUUUAAGUUGGGAGGAAGGGCAGUAAGUUAAUACCUUGCUGUUUUGACGUUACCAACAGAAUAAGCACCGGCUAACUUCGUG